CACGAGGGCCGCCUGUCACACCGCCGGCACCGCCCCUCGAGGACGGAGGAAAACACCCGAGGGACGCGAGCGCGCACAAGAUGGCCGCGCUGGCAGGCAGCCAAGUCCCAGGCGGGGCAGCGGCCGCCUCCGCCAUUAGCCCCCCUCCCCUCUGGUAUCCCCUCAUGUCGAGCUGGGGGUACCGCGCGCGACGCUGGGGUGGCAGCCGCAUCUCCACGACCGCGGUCCCGGCGGCCCCCAGACGGCGGACGGCUCUCACCGAGACCGGACCGGCUCCGGCCUCACGAGGCCCGUAUCCCAGCACGGCGUCUUCGUACCGGGAUACCGUACCGGAUCAUCCCAGCGCCACGACGAUCUGCCCCUCUCUUCGGGAGCCACGGGCCGGGCCUGCGGCACCGCCGGCUGCCUCUGCGCAGCGACGGACGGUGUUCCAGUGCCCCCACGUCCCCAGAACCGAGCGUUACCUUUCCCCUUUGCCGCUCGCGGAGGUGUUCCCGAACGGGAUUCCGAUGCCCCCUCCCUAGUCCCCGCCGCGACGAAGAAGCCGAGACGGCCGUCUCCAUCUCAGAAAAAAAAAAAAAAAAAAAAAAAAAAAAAAAGACAAAACGAUUUUUACCUCAGGAAUUGACGCCAAACGUGGCCCGGCGGCGCCCCUGACCCGGGCCCGGGCGGGCCGGCGUUGGUGGCGGUGCCCAAAGGCGGCCCAAACCCCCCCUACGAGGGGCGGUGGCAGUGGGAGCUUAACGGGGUCCACGGAGGGAUACAGGGGGUGGAACUGUGUUAUGGGGCGGGGGGAGCGUGUGCGCGUGUGGGGGAGGGAAAGGGGUUCUGUGUUGUUUUUCAGGGCCUUGUGAAAGGUCAGAGUUCGUGACCCCGACCGCCGCCACCGACCGAGUGCGUCCCGACGCUUCCUCUUCCCGGCACCAUGCCGCCCUCGGGCCCCUCCAUCCCAUCGCGGGGCGGGGCCGAGGAUGGCGGCGGGGAGGGGCGGGGCUACCUGAGCCCCUGCGAGCCAGCGCUCCGCCGAGCAGAGCCAGGCCGCAGCCCGCGCGGUGGCGGCAGGACGAGCAGACCCAGCACCUGCGCGGCAGGUGGCGCUCGUCCCUGGGAGUGCCGGUGCGUUGUACUGAGGUGCUAAGUCACAAAAGAUGAGUAAUGGAUAUUGUGGAAGACAGAAGAGAAGGCACUGCUUGAACACCUGGAUGAAGUUGGAGGGAAGCUCACACUUAGUGGCCGCUCUGUAAGAUUAAGAAAAUUCAGAAGAGAAGGAAGAAAUGGAUGAAUUGCUGUAUGUCAUACAAGGGGCCCUCGCUGAAAACUGCUGCUUCAAUCAGCAGAGAGCUGAAGGCAUGCUUUCAGAGGGACUGCCACAAGGUAGUGCACAAAGUUAUCAGCUGAUUUACAGAGAAAUGGACAUCAGGAACUAAAACCCAGCUCCUGACCUUCAAGGAUAGAAAUCCUGUCCAAGUAAGCCCAAAGACUGCCUUCAUAAACAUUACUAGAAGGGUUUGUUCUGUUGCUUCUAAUCAGAUCUCUUAAGGCCUCAGAGGAGAAUUUUCAAGUAUAAGGCUCAGCCACUGAAAGCAUGGACCUUGGUGCUUCCAUUUUGCUGCGCACAUUGGAAACCCACAUUCCUUCGCAGAAUUGUGGCCCAGUCAAAGCUGUACAGAGUUGUGGCAAAAACAGAAGGCUGCACGGCCCUUAUUCCUUUGCAGGGCCAACCGGGAUAUGUGAAAGGCCUGCAGACUUUUACAUCCUGAUAGCAACCGAAGCCCACUCAACACAUCACAGUUGGUAAUUAAAUGAUUUAGAGCUGGAGAAGAUAUGAAAGAGACAGUAAAAACAGAAAAAUCCUACCAAGAACAAGUGCCGAGGGUGCCUGCUUUUCCCAGAGACUUUCAUCAGCGUUCCCUCUUUCACAAAGACCUAGAAGGAAAAAGAAGAUCUGAUCCUGAGACUGCAUUCUGAAGCUUAUUGAGGAAAAAAAGAAACAUACUUCCAAGAGAAAAUGGUACUCAACUGCUUCCAUCAGCACAGUAAGGAAUGGAUAUGUCAACACAUGCCUCAAGCCCUCCUCAUGAUUUGCCUUAGCCUAGCCCUGACGCUCUUUAUGGCUUGCAUUUGUAUCAACAAUAAUUAAUUUAGAAAUUCCCCUGUCCUCGCAAGCUGCUCUGCACAGCUAAAAUUUAAUGGGCUUCAAAAGAAGAAUGCAUUCCCUAAUUAAGAAAAUUAAAUGAAAUAAAAUAUUGAGAUCUAUCCACAUAACUAAGCCUGCAUGCAUACAUGUGCUUGGAAACAUGUACAAUACUUUGUCCGUAUUAUUAUGUGUGUAAAUAGGAAUGUAUAUGUAACCAGCUAAAACACAUACUACACGGACUGAAAGCAAAUUUCGGGUUGAAUAUCUCAAUCUUCUAAAGUUUAGAACAGUUUGGACCUAAGAAAACUGGCAAGACUGGAAACAGAAGAGGAAAAAUUUAUAUUUGGUGCUUCAGUUUUGCUCUUUCCUGUGUUUCUGUUCAUAUAUUUGUAAUGCAACAGAAAGUGCAGCAACGACAGCAGAGCAACAAGGUCCUAGACUGCAACAAGAGAUGAUUUGCUCAUACACAGCAGCCAUGGACACAGGAGUAAAGGAAAGAAGCUACUUACCUUUGGAAGACCUCAGGCAUGAAGAGAUCUCCAGUGAGAUACCCUUGCCUCCACUGCCAGCCCUUAAAUGAGGUCUGGCAAGGGAUGAAGACAAGAUCCACCCUUUCUAGCCACUCAGGUACACUGCACGCACCUGAGCUCCCCUGGACUGGUCCUGCCUUCCUACCAGGUGCUCAAUCACUGUUUCAAGCUGCGAGUUGUAUUUUCAUUACAAACGUUGCUUAAAAGUGAUGUCUUACAUUAAAAGCACACUAGAGAACAGUAAGUGAAAAUUUGGAAGUAUGCAAUUCCCCUGAUUAGAGGAAUCUUACCUAGUCAAAUAAAGUUCUAUCUAAGCCUUCA
Long non-coding RNA from Coturnix japonica (Japanese quail), 2988 nucleotides. RefSeq lists it as uncharacterized. The record is from RefSeq and is a predicted model, not a curated record. NCBI's taxonomy places the organism in Eukaryota, Metazoa, Chordata, Aves, Galliformes, Phasianidae.